This is a long non-coding RNA of Pipistrellus kuhlii (Kuhl's pipistrelle), 1262 nucleotides long. RefSeq lists it as uncharacterized. The transcript has 4 exons. NCBI's taxonomy places the organism in Eukaryota, Metazoa, Chordata, Mammalia, Chiroptera, Vespertilionidae. The record is from RefSeq and is a predicted model, not a curated record.
GCCAAAUAUAGCAGGCUCAUUUCUAAUUUGAUAAUUUUGCAUGGCCUGGGAAUGAUGUUAUGCAUAUCCAAGUGGCCCUUGACAGAAAACAGGUUUCCCACCCCAGGUCUGGAUAGACCAGUUCCAAAAAAGAGAAUCCUGUACAAUGCUGCAGGCAGACCUUCAUCUCUCAGUACAUUAAUGGAAAGCACCCACGCUUAGGACCUCAUCUGAGAUCAACAGGCCCCUGGGAACUCAGAGUCAGGCUUCAGGUUAACCCCUGAAUCUGUGCCUCCAGAACAUUUUUCUGUAGAGAAGUAUUACAUGGAGCCAGGCCAGAGUAUAAAAAAGUGAAAUAGGUCAGGUGGGAGAACCCUGCCACACUUGCCUAUUAAGUAUGCUUCACUUCCGCAGAGAAAUAACUUCUUUCCAUUUGUCUUGAAAUAUGCAGUCUUUGGGUCUAUCUUUUAUUUCCUCGCUUCUGGUAGAGACUUCCCCACCUAGGGAAAACAACAAUGCAAGGGUCACAGCCCAUGGCAAGGAGUGCUCGGUGUUGGGGAGACCACAGAGGAUGGCGAGGGCUGUGGUGCCUGCACCUUCCCAAGCGGCAGCCAUCACUCUGCUGCAACUGGUCACAGCCUUGAGGGAGGGGACCCAGUGUUGAGAGAUCUUAGGAUCUCCUUGGUGGUGAAAUCUCCAGAACUUUAGAAUCCCGGCAUACUAACCAAAGCACUCUGGGGUGGGGAUGGGGGGUCACAUAUAACCCAUAGGCAUGUGGUUUGUGAGCUCUGGUCUAUAGAUUUUACCAGAAUUUCUAAGAGAUAUGUGACUUAACAUUAACAACCACUGUUCUAUUGUAGAAUAUGAUUUACCUCAAAGUCUAAGGGAGGAAAGACCAAGGGCAUGACCAUCUCCCAGGUUCCUGGGUCCCAAAAGUCUAGGGGAAAGCCAUCUGCCUGGCUCCUCCCCCAUCCCUAACCCAGAGCAUAGAAGCCAGUGGUGUGGGCUCCUCUUCCCCCUCCUUUGUCCACUGGUGAGUGUCCUGCAUGAUGGAGAGGGAGCAAGAAGGACAUUGUAAAAGGGAAUUGGUACUGAGAAGCACAGAGGAAAAGUAAGUGAUGCUCAUUAAAUAGAAGGUAUCUCUCUUCUUUGUCUUCUCAAUUCUCCAUUCUACCCCCUUCCCAUGGGUCCCUCCACAUCCAACCCACUACACCCCAAGACAUUUCUAUGUCUUUGGUUGCAAGGCAUAGAAAUCCAAAUCAAACCUGGCUGGGAAAAAAUAA